UACGGAAGGUGCAAGCGUUAUCCGGAAUUAUUGGGCGUAAAGAGCUCGUAGGCGGUUUGUCACGUCUGCUGUGAAAUCCCGAGGCUCAACCUCGGGCCUGCAGUGGGUACGGGCAGACUGGAGUGCGGUAGGGGAGAAUGGAAUUCCUGGUGUAGCGGUGGAAUGCGCAGAUAUCAGGAGGAACACCGAUGGCGAAGGCAGUUCUCUGGGCCGUAACUGACGCUGAGGAGCGAAAGCGUGGGGAGCGAACAGG
This 253-nucleotide ribosomal RNA is filed under the name uncultured bacterium. RNAcentral's name for it is "partial 16S ribosomal RNA". It matches the Rfam family "Bacterial small subunit ribosomal RNA", at positions 524 to 776 of the family's 1533-position model. The record is from RNAcentral.